Molecule: ribosomal RNA, 414 nt
Filed under: uncultured microorganism
Description: bacterial SSU rRNA
Rfam family: Archaeal small subunit ribosomal RNA
Source: RNAcentral
CAGCCGCCACGGUAAUACCGGCGGCCCGAGUGGCGGUCACUAUUAUUGGGCUUAAAGCGUCCGUAGCCGGGUUGGGAAGUCCUCCGGGAAAUCUGGCCGCUUAACGGUCAGAAUGCCGGAGGAUACUCCCAGCCUAGGGAGCGGGGGAGGCCGAGGGGAUUCCCGGGGUAGGGGGGAAAUCCUAUAAUCCCGGGAGGACCACCUGUGGCGAAGGCGCUCGGCUGGAACGCGUCCGACGGUGAGGGACGAAGGCCAGGGGAGCAAACCGGAUUAGAUACCCGGGUAGUCCUGGCUGUAAACGAUGCGGACUUUGUGUCGGACAAGCUAUGAGCUUGUCCGGUGCCGGAGGGAAACCGUUAAGUCCGCCGCCUGGGGAGUACGGCCGCAAGGCUGAAACUUAAAGGAAUUGGCGGG